RNAcentral lists this long non-coding RNA (1366 nucleotides) under Pan troglodytes (chimpanzee). RNAcentral's name for it is "lncRNA (ENSPTRG00000054323.1)". Lineage: Eukaryota; Metazoa; Chordata; Mammalia; Primates; Hominidae. The record is from RNAcentral.
ACAUUCACAGUAUUGUUUGGGCAGUAUCAGUAUAUUGGAGACCCAUACUGCGUGGUAUUUAUUUUGUAGGAGAAGACACGAGAGCAGAAAGAAGUAGAUCUCAUUCCUAAAGUCCAGGAGGCUGUGAACUAUGGCUUACAAGUAUUGGACAGUGCCUUUGAGCAACUUGAUAUCAAAGCAGGAAACUCAGACUCCGAGGAAGAUGAUGCUAAUGGGCGGGUGGAACUGAUCCUUGAACCAAAGUAGAGACGGGGUUUCAUCAUGGUGACCAGGCUGGUCUUGAACUCCUGACCUCAAGUGAUCCGCCCGCCUCGGCCUCCCAAAAGUGCUGGGAUUACAGGAUCUAUACAUUGAUCGUCCUUUACCAUAUCUCAUUGGGUCAAAGCUGUUCAUGGAACAAGAAGAUGUAGGUCUUGGAGAGCUGUCCAGUGAAGAAGGCUCUGUAGGCAGUGAUCGUGGCAGUAUUGUGGACACUGAGGAAGAGAAAGAAGAGGAGGAGUCAGAUGAAGAUUUUGCCCAUCACGGUGACAAUGAACAAAACCGGCACACCACACAAAUGAGUGAUGAGGAAGAGGAUGAUGAUGGCUGUGACCUUUUCGCUGACUCUGAGAAGGAGGAGGAAGAUAUUGAGGACAUUGAAGAAAAUACUAGACCUAAAAGAAGCAGACCUACAUCGUUUGCAGAUGAGCUGGCUGCCCGCAUCAAGGGGGAUGCCGUGGGCCGAGUGGACGAGGAGCCGACAAGUGAGCCCCAGCUGCAUUGAUGGGGAGUAGGGGAGGGGUAGUGCAGAGCCCUCUGCUGGCUUCACCAAAGGCGGAUUUCUCUUUUUAUUAGUAAUUACUACAUAUAUUUAUUAGUAAUUGCUACAUACAAUUUAAAUUGUAGCGCUUAUUCCUUUUUUGGUUAAUGGGCUCCUUUAGAUAACUGAACACUGUGGACUCACAAGAAAAAUGUACAUGUACACAUGUAGAUAACACUUUACAUAUAAUUUCAGGAGAUUAAUGGAAACUCCAGAGAACCAUGGGCAACAGCUUAAGAAUUCCUGGCUGAAUAUUUACUCCUAUAUUUUGAACACAUAAGAAUGUGCUAUAUAGCAUAUUCUAGUUAUAACAGGGUAGAAAGAUAACACAAUAAUUCUUUCAACAAAUACAAUCCUGUUAUGCACAUGAGCCUGGGAUGAAAGCAGAAGCCUUCUGCCUUACAAAGAGACUCUUAAGUGCCCACUGUGGGCAGGGCAGGGGGUUCAGUGCUCUGGUGCAGCUGAGAUGAAAGGCAGAUGUCUUGCUCUUAGCUGUGAGUUAUGAGGAUGACAGACGUGGAAAGAACCAGGAUGUGUAUACUGAGGGAGGACUUAGUACUAUUAAAA